GAUGAACGCUGGCGGCGUGCCUAAUACAUGCAAGUCGAGCGAACGGACGAGAAGCUUGCUUUUCUGAUGUUAGCGGCGGACGGGUGAGUAACACGUGGAUAACCUACCUAUAAGACUGGGAUAACUUCGGGAAACCGGAGCUAAUACCGGAUAAUAUUUUGAACCGCAUGGUUCAAAAGUGAAAGACGGUCUUGCUGGCACUUAUAGAUGGAUCCGCGCUGCAUUAGCUAGUUGGUAGGGUAACGGCUUGCCAAGGCAACGAUGCAUAGGCGAACUGAGAGGGGGAUCGGCCACACUGGAACGGAGACACGGUCAAGACUCCUACGGGAGGCAGCAGUAGGGAAUCUUCCGCAGUGGGCGAAAGCCUGACGGAGCAACGCCGCGUGAGUGAUGAAGGUCUUCGGAUCGUAAAGCUCUGUUAUUAGGGAAGAACAUAUGUGUAAGUAACUGUGCACAUCGUGACGGUACCUAAUCAGAAAGCAACGGCUAACUACGUG
This 497-nucleotide ribosomal RNA is filed under the name uncultured bacterium. RNAcentral's name for it is "partial 16S ribosomal RNA". It matches the Rfam family "Bacterial small subunit ribosomal RNA", at positions 28 to 507 of the family's 1533-position model. The record is from RNAcentral.